Molecule: long non-coding RNA, 2743 nt
Filed under: Oryzias sinensis (Chinese medaka)
Lineage: Eukaryota; Metazoa; Chordata; Actinopteri; Beloniformes; Adrianichthyidae
Description: lncRNA (ENSOSIG00000019875.1)
Source: RNAcentral
AUGAUGUUUGCACCUGGCUUGUUUUUUGGAAUCCCAGUUUGGACCCUGAAAAAAACUGACACCCAUGCAGGUUCAAAAUCCAGAGCCGCUUCUUCUUUAAGCAUGUUCUGUUGUUUCAACACAACUUGGCAGAGCGGAAACGGAGGAGCAGGGAAAAAGAGGAGCAUCAGUUCCAGUCAACGUCGGAACAAUGCUGGUUUACAGUAACAUCAGUGGUGCCCAGCAGUCCCACCACCACAACCACAUCUUGUAAACCCCGUCCACCUGGAUGGCGUUAGCUGCUUGGACUUCACAACUGGAAUAACAGAUCAGAUCAUAGCAGGGUACUUUUGCCUUCUUAAGUGUGAAUGAUCUUUGAUCUGAAUAUUGCAGAACUUUCAGUGUUUAGAACUAAAUUAAAAUUCUUACUUCGUUGUAGCCUUUGUAGCAUGGGUGUGACAAACUUUGGAUCAAGAGGAAGAAGGGCAUCAACAUCAAGUGAGCCAGUGAUGCCGGAGUAAAAAGUUUUCAGUCACUCAGUGAGGCUUGUUGACUUAUUACUAUGUCAUGCAAAUUCUUGCAAAUAAGCCAAACUAUGAAUCGUAGUACUUUGCAUUAACAAUCAAAACAGCAUUACGAUGUUCAUAUAGGAGCAAUAUCGUGUGUUAUAAACGCGUAACGGUGUCUCCAUUGCAUAACAGAUAGUUACUUUACCUGUGCGCAAAGGAGGAUGAGCCACAUGACCAACGCUGGAAGUCUCCAUCGCGCAGGCAAGUUCUUCUUCCCCAUGAUUUUUGCGGAGGUAUAAACGUCUGAGGCUAACUUUAUGCUCUCCGUCUGACAGGGGAACACACCGGGAUCAGUUACCAGCAGCCUUCUUCAGACACAAUCGAAGCAAGUCACAUCUUCUGCCGUGCGUAAAAGGGGGUCGAGCCGAGCCGCAUCUCACGCGGUGUUCCUGUGGCUUCAUUUAGGCUGCUCCUCCGGCGCUCAUCCACUUGCUGUGAAGAAGCGCGGCGCAAGUAACAGCAUGUAAGAAGUGUCUCACGGAGACAGGAAAGGGGGGGGGGGGGCAGAGCUCCUCCCACCUAAUUAGAUAUGCAAAUAAAAAAAUCUUUUUUGUUUGUUUGCGCGGCCCACCCACUCAAUAUGAUAGUUAGGAUUCAAUAUUUGCGCAAACUUAAAAAACAAAAAACAAAAACAAGACGCACAAUUUCCCAGUGAGAAAGUGGAUAUUUCAAUUAGUGUCAUAGGUCAGGUAAGUUCAGUGAUGACCUCACGUCAGGUGUUAUCCACAAAGGCAAAGCGUUUGGCCUUCUCAGGAACAGAGUGGGCUACCAGCACAUUUCCUGGAGCGUGGGCUUUUUAAACAGCCGUGACCAUCUCCACACUGUCCCAAAAGUCAGCUAUGUAAAAAAAAAGUGAGUCCAGGAAAUGUUAGGGCUGCCUUUGAAGAGUGGAAAAGCAGCUCUGGCUUCCGUUUCUCUGGGGAUUUGCAUAACCCAGCCCACGCUGGCAAGUACACACGGAAGGUUAGGCAGAGUUGGAAUCAUGUUCUCUUUAAGAUGACAGUUAUGCAAAUCCUAAAUUGGUACAUCCUGGAGCUUAGAUACCUGGAAAGGGAAUGAAAAAGGAAUUGUGAAAUCUUUCCGUCAUGAUGAGAAAGUGAGAAAAACAAAGAUCCAGAGUUUGAUGUUGUUUCUACCUUCUUAACUUUCUGCCUCUGGUUGUAAAAACAUGCAGUGUGGAGCAGGUUUGUAAUGAAACCUCUGCUGUGUGCACAAUUGAGGUUUCAUUCUUGCCAAUCCAAUUAAAAUGUACAGAAAACAGUCAUGUCAGAUAACUAUGGCAGGAAAAUUAAAGUGUGGACUUUGAGAGGCUCCAGUUUAACCAGACUUUCAUGAAAAACAGCUUGAGGUUUAAAAGCCCCCUCGCUGUAGAAAAAAAAAAAAAAAGUGCGGGUUAAUGAGUUUUAAACUUAAGAUGACCUGAGCCACACAACUCUGGAAGAGUGGUGUGAAGGUUGUGUUGGUUAGCACAAGUCAUGGCGUGCGUUCCUUCCACAAGACGCACAUAAGUUAAGAUUUACACUACAAAGGGGAUGCAUGGUUCCGAUUAAUUACAAACAUGCCGGAUCCACAGAACAAAAGCUGCAGCUUUGAGUCUGACUUCCCAUAAACAGUAAAAAAACAAAAAACAUUUGGCACAAUAGGGUUCAUGCUAAGCCACACCCACAGAAAAACAAAAACACAGUUACAAAUUUUCAGCAAUUUUUUUAUGAUCAAAUCUGGUCCCUAAAAACAAAAUAUAUGAAUAUUUUUGUCAGUAGAAGGCUGUUGUGGCAUCAGUUCACUCAUUUCAGGCGUGUUUGACAACCAAUACAUAUCUAUACACAGAUAUGCCCCCACAUCCCCAUUUCCCGCCCCAGGUUUUAAAUAUUUGCCCACCUGGCUACUUAUCAGUGAUCAGAGUUAAACAUUAACCCAAAAAUGCAAAUUUAAGCCUUUAUAGCCGACAUAGUUAACUAGACUAUUGUUCAACUAUUUAGUCAACACUUCAAGGUGCACUGAGAAAAAAGUAAAAUGUAUGUGGGGAUCUUGAACUAAAAUAUGUCUUCUUUUAUAGCUGCAAUUCUCUAAAUAUACUCUCAAUCCUUUAAACAAAUCUGACAAUUUAACGUCUUUUCUUCUUUUAAUUUUUUUAAAUGACUAUCACCUGCUGGGAAUGUCCCUAAACGUGGACAGUCAAUAAAAAAUUCCAUAAG